RNAcentral lists this RNase P RNA (597 nucleotides) under Candidatus Nealsonbacteria bacterium CG08_land_8_20_14_0_20_43_11. RNAcentral's name for it is "RNase P RNA component class A". It matches the Rfam family "Bacterial RNase P class A". Rfam says of the family: Ribonuclease P (RNase P) is a ubiquitous endoribonuclease, found in archaea, bacteria and eukarya as well as chloroplasts and mitochondria. Its best characterised activity is the generation of mature 5'-ends of tRNAs by cleaving the 5'-leader elements of precursor-tRNAs. The record is from RNAcentral. Lineage: Bacteria; Candidatus Nealsoniibacteriota.
CCGGCAAACCGGACAGCUACUCUGUGCAUAGUUUAUCUUGCCCUAAUCAGGUAAAACAAAUUAUGUGCGGGGAGGAAAGUCCGAACACCCUCGAGCACAUAAUUUUAUGUGCUCGAUAAAAAGAUAGCGGCUAACAGCCGUCCGCCGCGAGGCGAGAGGUGCGAACAGAGACGAUUUGACCCGAAAGGGUCAAAUCGCCCUCCGAAGCUUCACGCGGAGGAGGACGAUCUGGACUAUAAGGUGUGUCCUCCUUCACCCCAAGAUCUGGGGUUACGGAGGACAGCUUCACCAAAGGUUCAGCUGAAACGGCUAAAUCCUUAUCGGGUGCAAGAAUGAACCCCGCAUCACUUUUGCCGCUGAAAAAUCUUCGCGAAGAGCGAGCGGGAAUAGCCGCAUCCCGAAUAUGGGCGAAGCGCUUCGCCCAAAAAAGGGUAUAUCUAUUCGGCAUACGCACUUCGCAGGAAAGUCAAUGGCAAAAGUGGUGCGGGGGUAAAAAUAAUUCGCUUGAGCCUGAGAGUAAUCGAAGGCCUAGAGAGAUGGCUGUCGCCUUGGCCUUUUGGCCGGGUACAGAAUUCGGCUUAUAGGUUUGCCGGAAAC